Long non-coding RNA from Canis lupus familiaris (dog), 4833 nucleotides. RefSeq lists it as uncharacterized. The transcript has 4 exons. Lineage: Eukaryota; Metazoa; Chordata; Mammalia; Carnivora; Canidae. The record is from RefSeq and is a predicted model, not a curated record.
GCUCCGCUGUGACGGGUACACUUGGACCCAAGCUCGAGCUUGCUAAUAAACCCUCGUGUGCUUGCAUUGGUGUUGGCUCCUUGGUGGUUUCUCGGAUUCGCAAUCUUGGGCACAACAUUUGGGAGCUCGUCGGGGAUCUGAGAGACCCCUAGGACCCCACCCAGAGGGUCCCAUGCCUGCCUACUUGGGAUGACUGCCAUCAGCUCUUGCAGGUUCUCUUCACCACCAGAGAGAGAACGAAUUCAGGUGGAAGCCCGGAAGUCUGUCCUGGGAGAGGACAGACAGCCGACUCAAAACCCAGACCUCAUAAACGCUGCCUUCCCCUUAUCCCACCCUACCUGGGACUACAACUCGGCUGAAGGUCUAGAGGACAAAUAUCAUCUCCACCAAAUGCCCUCAGCCCCAGUGACUGACAUUGACCGUUGGCUGCAGGAAUUUCCCCAAGCAUGGGCAGAAACUGGGGGAAUUGGGCUGGCCCGGCACCGACUGGCCAUAUACAUAGACCUAAAGCCGGGGGCAGACCCUGUCAGGGUCCGCCAAUCCCCCAUGCCUCCCAUUCGUGCUACGAGCAGGAAUCACAACCCACAUACGGCAACUACUGGACUCGGGCAGUAGUCUUCUACUGUCUGAGAGGCCUUGCCAAUCGGCAUGGAACACUGCCUUGCUGCCGGUGCGGAAACUGCACUCUAACGAUUAAGUCAACCGGCAAGUAGAGGAUAUAUACCCUACGGUCCCAAACCCAUACACCCUCCUCUCCACCUUGCCUCCAGACAAAACUUGGUAUACGGUAUUAGAUUUAAAAGAUGCCUUUUUCAGCCUGCCUUUAGCACCCAAGAGCCAAGACCUUUUCACCUUUGAAUGGACGGACAUUGAAAGGCAUCAAUAGCCAGCUCACCUGGACACGACUACCACAAGGAUUCAAAAAUUCACCACCAUCUUCGAUGAGGCCUUACACGAAGACAUGGGUGAGUUCCGUGCCAAGCACCUUCAUUUGACCUUAUUGCAAUAUGUGGAUGAUAUCCUGUUGGUGGCGGAGGACCAGGACACUUGCCUGUGAGGCACCAAGGACUUAUUCCAGACAAUAGCAGCUCUAGGAUACUGGGCCUCAGCUAAAAAAAGCCCAGAUCUGCAGAGCAGAGGUGAGCUACCUAGGGUACAAAUUAAAGGAUGGACAGAGGUGGUUGAUGGAUGUAUGGAAGGAAACUGUCCUAAGGAUCCCACAGCUGCAAACCGUCCUCCAGGUACGUGAAUUCCUGGGGUCAGCAGGGUUCUGUUGAUUAUGGAUUCCAGGUUUUGCCGAGAUGGCCAGACCCCUCUAUGAGGCUACCAGGCACCAGCAAAAUUUUGAAUGGACAGAGGCCAUGAACACAGCCUUUAAUGACCUUAAACAGGCCUUGCUGUCUGCCCCGGCUCUCGGGUUGCCCGACCUAACCAAGCCCUUCUACCUGUAUGUGGAUGAGAAAGACAAGGUGGCAAAAGGGGUCUUUGUCCAGUACAUAGGUCCCUGGAAGAGACCCAUAGCCUAUCUUUCCAAAAAGCUGGACAUGGUGGCUGCUGGGUGGCCCCCAUGUUUAAAAAUUAUUGCCGUGGUGGCCACUAUGGUCAAGGACGCAGACAAGCUGACCAUGGGGCAAGAACUGUAUGUUACCACAUGCUAUUGAAGGGGUACUCAAACAGCCCCCAGACCGCUGGAUCAGCAAUGCUCAUAUGACCCAUUAUCAGAGCCUACUGCUAAACCCCACCAGAAUUUUAUUCAAGCCACCGACAACCCUGAAUCCAGCAACACUACUCCCUAACCCAGACUGAGACCCCCCUCUGCAUGACUGUCAAGAAAUUUGGGCACAGGUGCACGGAAUCAGAGCUGAUCUCCAGGACCAGCCACUGCUGAACGUGGAUGCCACCUGGUAUAUGGACGGCAGCAGUUUUGUCCAAGAAGGAAUCAGAUAGGUGGGGGCAGCCAUAACCACGGAAAUGGAGACCAUCUGGGCAGAGCCAUUGGCAGCCAGAACAUCGGCUCAAUGGGCAGAACUGAUCGCACUGGCCAAGGUGCUAACCAUGGGAGAAGGUAAAUGAAUAAACAUUUACACCAACAGCAGGUACGCCUUUGCCACCGCUCAUAUCCACGGAGCCCUUUACAGAGAGAAAGGGUUUCUGACAGCAGAAGGAAAGACUAUUAAAAACAAAACAGAGAUCCUUGAACUCCUGAGGGCCCUCUGGCUGCCCAAGGCACUAGCUACCAUCCAUUGUCUGGGACACCAAAAAGCAGAUACACUAGUAGCUAGGGAAAACUGGCUAGCCAAUUCAAAAGCAAAGGAGGCAGCCCUUUCAGUGACCCAGAUCUUAACAACCACACUACCCGAUCCAGGGGCACCGACCCUGCUGGACACCCCCAACUAUACUGAUGCUGACUUACACUGGAUCAAACGCUUGCCUAUGACCCAAUGCUUGCGUGGCUGAUGGAGAGCCGCAGACUCCAGCAUCAUCCUGCCAGAGGAACUAGGAUGGCGAGUCCUAUACAAAAUGCAUCGGAGUACAGAGGUGUUCCCCACCAAGCACGAAACAGUGCAAAUGGUGACCAAAAAGCUGCUGGAGGACAUUCUGCCAAGAGCCCAUGAGCAGGUAUGGCCUAAGCUGAGGGCCCUCUCUACGAGACUGGGCUGCCCCCGGACCCCCAUCGAUAUCGACCAUGCAAUUGGGUGUACAUGCGGAGACACCAACAGCAGAUGCUCCAACUUUGCUGGAAAGGACCCUACAUUGUGAUCCUGACUAUGCCCACUGCUCUCAAGGUCGACGGAAUAACUCCCUGGGUCCACUACACCCACAUCCGGCUAGCUGAUCCACACACCAUACUCAAGAACUUUGUUCCAGAAUGGAAGAGUCAGCCCGACAAGGACAAUCUGUGUCAGGCCAGGGGCUCUGCAUAGGCACUCCUCCACGCCACUACUAGUGGCUUUUGUCAGGGACCGGGUUACCAGAUUCUGUGCGUUACACAGCCUGUAAACAGUACUGGGUAUCAUCUACCGCCCCAAAACAGUUGGUGGGCCUGUUCCGAGGGAUUAAAUCCCUGCGCUCACGGACAGGUUAUAAACAGAACUGGGGGCUUCUGUGUGCUGGUUCAACUACUCCCUAGAAUCAUCUCAAUGGAUGGACCGGGUACCCACGGGUGAAAUCCCAUCUCUGUUGUCACCAUCGCUACCCUGCUAGGAAUUAGUUUGGCUGGCAUAGGAACAGGUAUUGCUUCACUGGCCACCCAAGCUUCCCACUGCAAAGGUCAGGGAAGGACUGGCUAGGCAAAAACAAGAGCGAGAGCAGCAACAGGGGUGGUUCGAAUCCUGGCUCGAUCAUUCUCCCUGGCUAAUUACCUUGUUGCCCUCCCUAGCUGGCCCCCUCAUCCUCCUCCUCCUCCUUCUGAAGGCAACAAUACCAACCACUGAACUUUCAGGACCCAUGAUUGGGUCCUGCAUUGGGUUCCUCUGAAAAGGGGGGAAUGUGGGACCCAAGAAAUUCAGAAAGUGUCCCCCACCCCUGGUCCCUACAUAAGCACAGACUUGAUCCCAGGACCCUGGUAUUAUGACCUGAGCCAAAGGCAGAGACUCAACCAACCACUGAGCCACCCAGGUGCCCCAAGGGUCAGGUUUUUAUGCAGAUUUAAGUCAUUACCUUCUCCAUUAAUAAGAAUUUCUAGCGAUUUAGAGACAUCCUUUUCCUGGUACACAGUGGGAGACACCCUAAUGAAUGGAGAUUCCCUUAUAAAUGUUAAUAUGUCUGGGCCCCUGGGUGGCUCAGCCGGUUAACUGUCUGACUCAUGAUUUGGGUUCAGGUCAUGAUCUUAAGGAUCCUGAGAUUGAGCCUCACAUCGGGCUCUGUGCUCAGUCUGGAGUCUGCUUGUCCCUCUCCCUCUGCUCCUCCCCCCAUCCCACCCCUGCUCUCUCUAUCUCUACCAUAAGUAAACAAAAGACUUUAAAAAUAAAAAUAAAUGUUAAUGUGUCUCACAAAAAGGCAACUUCUACUUGGGUUUUUAUUUUAUUUUUUUAUUUUAAAGAUUUAUUUGUUUAUUCAUGAGACACACACACACAGAGAGAGAGAGAGAGAGAGAGAGGCAGGCAGAGACACAGGCAGAGGGAGAAGCAGGCUCCUUACAGGGAGCCCGAUGCGGAACUUGAUCCCGGAUCCUAGAAUCACGCCCUGAGCCAAAGGCAGAUGCUCAACCUCUGAGCCACCCAGGCAUCCCCUACUUGGGUUUUUAGAACUUCUCUUGACUUUGCAGUUCUUAAAAAAUAAUCAUCUUAAAAUAACCCUUUUGCCAAAGAGGCCUAUUUUGAGGUGGCAAAUUCUGCUCCUUCGCCUUCUUUUUUUUUCUUUUUUUUUAACGAUUUUAUUUAUUUAUUCAUGAGAGAGAGAGAGAGAGAAGAGAAGAGACAUAGAAAGAGAGAGAAGCAGGCUCCGUGCAGGAAGCUGUGUGGAACUCAAUCCCAGUACAUCAGGAUCAUGCUGUAAGCUGAAGACAGACGCUUAACCGCUGAGCUACCCAGGUGUCCCUGCUCCUUCACCUUCUACUUGGACUGAAAUCAACAGGCUUGAGCAGAGGAGUGAUUUACCUGUCUUGCCUCAUAACAGUAUCACAUUGGUCACUCUGUCCAGAAUACACUGUAGGGAACAAGAGUGAGAACAGGGACCAGUGAGAAGACUAUUGUGAUAAUGCCUGGGAUGAAGGGGACAGCAGUGGAGGUGGUGAGAAGUUAUUAUGUUCUAGAUAUACUUUGAAGAUUGAAGCAAAAGGACUUUCUGACACAAAAUCCAGAUGGCAUGAAUAAAAAGACUGAUUCAUCUGAA